This 251-nucleotide ribosomal RNA is filed under the name uncultured bacterium. RNAcentral describes it as "partial 16S ribosomal RNA". It matches the Rfam family "Bacterial small subunit ribosomal RNA", at positions 526 to 776 of the family's 1533-position model. The record is from RNAcentral.
CGGAGGGUGCAAGCGUUAUCCGGAUUCACUGGGUUUAAAGGGUGCGUAGGUGGGUUGGUAAGUCCGUGGUGAAAUCCCCGAGCUUAACUUGGGAACUGCCAUUGAUACUAUCAGUCUUGAAUAUUGUGGAGGUUAGCGGAAUAUGUCAUGUAGCGGUGAAAUGCUUAGAUAUGACAUAGAACACCAAUUGCGAAGGCAGCUGGCUACACAAAUAUUGACACUGAGGCACGAAAGCGUGGGGAUCAAACAGG